AGAGUUUGAUCCUGGCUCAGAUUGAACGCUGGCGGCAGGCCUACACAUGCAGUCGAGCGGAUGAAGAGAGCUUGCUCUCUGAUUCAGCGGCGGACGGGUGAGUAAUGCAUAGGAAUCUGCCCGAUAGUGGGGGAUAACCUGGGGAAACCCAGGCUAAUACCGCAUACGUCCUACGGGAGAAAGGGGGCUCCGGCUCCCGCUAUGGGAUGAGCCUAUGUCGGAUUAGCUAGUUGGUGAGGUAAAGGCUCACCAAGGCGACGAUCCGUAACUGGUCUGAGAGGAUGAUCAGUCACACUGGAACUGAGACACGGUCCAGACUCCUACGGGAGGCAGCAGUGGGGAAUAUUGGACAAUGGGCGAAAGCCUGAUCCAGCCAUGCCGCGUGUGUGAAGAAGGUCUUCGGAUUGUAAAGCACUUUAAGUUGGGAGGAAGGGCAGUAAGUUAAUACCUUGCUGUUUUGACGUUACCGACAGAAUAAGCACCGGCUAACUUCGUGCCAGCAGCCGCGGUAAUA
Molecule: ribosomal RNA, 514 nt
Filed under: uncultured bacterium
Lineage: Bacteria
Description: bacterial SSU rRNA
Rfam family: Bacterial small subunit ribosomal RNA
Source: RNAcentral